UGGCCUUUAGUAACGGCGAGUGAAGCGGCAAAAGCUCAAAUUUGAAAUCUGGUACCUUCGGUGCCCGAGUUGUAAUUUGGAGAGGGCAACUUUGGGGCCGUUCCUUGUCUAUGUUCCUUGGAACAGGACGUCAUAGAGGGUGAGAAUCCCGUGUGGCGAGGAGUGCGGUUCUUUGUAAAGUGCCUUCGAAGAGUCGAGUUGUUUGGGAAUGCAGCUCUAAGUGGGUGGUAAAUUCCAUCUAAAGCUAAAUAUUGGCGAGAGACCGAUAGCGAACAAGUACAGUGAUGGAAAGAUGAAAAGAACUUUGAAAAGAGAGUGAAAAAGUACGUGAAAUUGUUGAAAGGGAAGGGCAUUUGAUCAGACAUGGUGUUUUGUGCCCUCUGCUCCUUGUGGGUAGGGGAAUCUCGCAUUUCACUGGGCCAGCAUCAGUUUUGGUGGCAGGAUAAAUCCAUAGGAAUGUAGCUUGCCUCGGUAAGUAUUAUAGCCUGUGGGAAUACUGCCAGCUGGGACUGAGGACUGCGACGUAAGUCAAGGAUGCUGGCAUAAUGGUUAUAUGCCGCCCGUCUUA
This 568-nucleotide ribosomal RNA is filed under the name Saccharomyces cerevisiae (brewer's yeast). RNAcentral describes it as "eukaryotic LSU rRNA". It matches the Rfam family "Eukaryotic large subunit ribosomal RNA", at positions 73 to 656 of the family's 3401-position model. The record is from RNAcentral. Lineage: Eukaryota; Fungi; Ascomycota; Saccharomycetes; Saccharomycetales; Saccharomycetaceae.